AGCGGAGGGAUCAUUAUCGAGUUUAUCCAACUCCCAACCCUAUGUGAACCUACCUUUAUGUUGCUUCGGCGGUCUCGCGCCGGGCUGCUCCCCUAGGGGGCUCCCGGGACCACGCGUCCGCCGGAGACCACAAACUCUUGAUUUUGCGAAAGCAGUAUUAUUCUGAGUGG
RNAcentral lists this ribosomal RNA (170 nucleotides) under Simplicillium lanosoniveum. Its description in RNAcentral is "partial 18S ribosomal RNA". The record is from RNAcentral. Lineage: Eukaryota; Fungi; Ascomycota; Sordariomycetes; Hypocreales; Cordycipitaceae.